Molecule: unclassified non-coding RNA, 244 nt
Filed under: Hevea brasiliensis (rubber tree)
Lineage: Eukaryota; Viridiplantae; Streptophyta; Magnoliopsida; Malpighiales; Euphorbiaceae
Source: RNAcentral
UGGAGAUACAAUCUUCACAUUGAAAUGUGUUUCUCCAGCGCUGCCUUUCACAGCCGCAUGCCCAGCGUGUUGGUGGGAAACGUCCUCGAUUUCCAAAAAACUCGCUGAUAGUGCUGAUUGCAACUUCGUCUUCAUCCUAUUAGCCCUCGAUAGCACCACGUUUGCCCCUCUUGAAGCCAUACUGUUCGAUAAAAUGUCUGAACAAUCCCCUGCGAUUCCGGCGUUACUCGAAGCAGCCCCCUCG